This 252-nucleotide ribosomal RNA is filed under the name uncultured Bacteroidales bacterium. Its description in RNAcentral is "partial 16S ribosomal RNA". It matches the Rfam family "Bacterial small subunit ribosomal RNA", at positions 524 to 776 of the family's 1533-position model. The record is from RNAcentral. Lineage: Bacteria; Pseudomonadati; Bacteroidota; Bacteroidia; Bacteroidales.
UACGGAGGAUGCGAGCGUUAUCCGGAUUUAUUGGGUUUAAAGGGUGCGUAGGCGGUCCGUUAAGUCAGCGGUAAAAUGUCCGGGCUCAACCCGGGCCGGCCGUUGAAACUGGGGAUCUUGAGUGGGCGAGAAGUAUGCGGAAUGCGUGGUGUAGCGGUGAAAUGCAUAGAUAUCACGCAGAACUCCGAUUGCGAAGGCAGCAUACCGGCGCCCAACUGACGCUGAGGCACGAAAGCGUGGGGAGCAAAUAGG